This 77-nucleotide non-coding RNA is filed under the name Olea europaea subsp. europaea. The record is from RNAcentral. Lineage: Eukaryota; Viridiplantae; Streptophyta; Magnoliopsida; Lamiales; Oleaceae.
AGGAGCCGUGUGAGAUGAAAGUCUCAUGCACGAUUUUAAAUGAGAAAGAAGUGAGGAAUCCUCUUUUUGACUCUGAC